RNAcentral lists this ribosomal RNA (599 nucleotides) under uncultured bacterium. RNAcentral's name for it is "bacterial SSU rRNA". It matches the Rfam family "Bacterial small subunit ribosomal RNA", at positions 57 to 702 of the family's 1533-position model. The record is from RNAcentral.
GCAAGUCGAACGAAGUCUUCGGACUUAGUGGCGGACGGGUGAGUAACACGUGGGAACGUGCCUUUAGGUUCGGAAUAACUCAGGGAAACUUGUGCUAAUACCGAAUGUGCCCUUCGGGGGAAAGAUUUAUCGCCUUUAGAGCGGCCCGCGUCUGAUUAGCUAGUUGGUGAGGUAAAGGCUCACCAAGGCGACGAUCAGUAGCUGGUCUGAGAGGAUGAUCAGCCACAUUGGGACUGAGACACGGCCCAAACUCCUACGGGAGGCAGCAGUGGGGAAUCUUGCGCAAUGGGCGAAAGCCUGACGCAGCCAUGCCGCGUGAAUGAUGAAGGUCUUAGGAUUGUAAAAUUCUUUCACCGGGGACGAUAAUGACGGUACCCGGAGAAGAAGCCCCGGCUAACUUCGUGCCAGCAGCCGCGGUAAUACGAAGGGGGCUAGCGUUGCUCGGAAUUACUGGGCGUAAAGGGAGCGUAGGCGGACAUUUAAGUCAGGGGUGAAAUCCCGGGGCUCAACCUCGGAAUUGCCUUUGAUACUGGGUGUCUUGAAUGUGAGAGAGGUAUGUGGAACUCCGAGUGUAGAGGUGAAAUUCGUAGAUAUUCGGA